This is a small nucleolar RNA of Trichechus manatus latirostris (Florida manatee), 115 nucleotides long. RefSeq annotates it as small nucleolar RNA SNORA26. The transcript has a single exon. Lineage: Eukaryota; Metazoa; Chordata; Mammalia; Sirenia; Trichechidae. The record is from RefSeq and is a predicted model, not a curated record.
GUGCCGUUAAGGUGGAUGCAGUGCCUGAGGAGGCUAGCACAGGAGGGUAACUCUCCACAAAACCCAGAGAAGAGGUUGUGCAACUCUUCUUUGGAUCCUGUCUGGAGCCACAGCU